UAGCUUGCUUUGAGCUUGGAGUAGCUUGCUUGGAGUAGCUUGCUUGGAGCUUGGAGUAGCUUGCUUGGAGGUUGGAGUAGCUUGUUUGGAGCUUGGAGUAGCUCUUGUGAGUUCGCGCGGGUA
Molecule: non-coding RNA, 123 nt
Organism: Bombyx mori (domestic silkworm)
Lineage: Eukaryota; Metazoa; Arthropoda; Insecta; Lepidoptera; Bombycidae
Source: RefSeq, marked provisional